This 253-nucleotide ribosomal RNA is filed under the name uncultured bacterium. RNAcentral describes it as "partial 16S ribosomal RNA". It matches the Rfam family "Bacterial small subunit ribosomal RNA", at positions 524 to 776 of the family's 1533-position model. The record is from RNAcentral.
UACAGAGGUCCCAAGCGUUGUUCGGAUUCAUUGGGCGUAAAGGGUGUGUAAGUGGCGCCGUAAGUCGGGUGUGAAAUCUCGGGGCUUAACUCCGAAACUGCAUUCGAUACUGCGGUGCUUGAGGACUGGAGAGGAGACUGGAAUUCAUGGUGUAGCAGUGAAAUGCGUAGAGAUCAUGAGGAAGACCAGUGGCGAAGGCGGGUCUCUGGGCAGUAACUGACGCUGAGGAGCGAAAGCGUGGGGAGCGAACAGG